Molecule: non-coding RNA, 682 nt
Organism: Paramuricea clavata
Lineage: Eukaryota; Metazoa; Cnidaria; Anthozoa; Malacalcyonacea; Plexauridae
Source: the annotation of a GenBank genome assembly
UCAUAUGUUCGAAUUCUAUUUUUGCAGUUGAUAAUUGCUUUUAAAAGUGUGUUAAUAAAAUGUAAUUUACGUACACCUGUUAUUUGCCGUUAACAUAAAAAUAUUAGCACCAGUUGUUUGCAAAAAGGGUAGUCAAUCACAAUUGAGGGCCACAAAAGGGAGAAUACAAUACGUUUCUAAUUGGUGUUACUCUUGUUAAAUAGAUUUUGUUCUAUUGUAUUUUAUUGUGUUGCAUUGCAUUGUAUUGUAUUGAGAAAAUAAUUAUGAGUUAUAACAAAAUUUACUCUUAAUUUGGAAAUUGUGAUCUGCUAAUUUCAAUUGUGAGUUUGUUUGUCCUGUAUUUUGAUAUGACAAAGUCCAAUUACAAUAUUGCAUUCUUGCAAGCCCUUGCAGAAACCUCACUGCGCCGAGAAAUGGCGUAAUUAUAAAGUAUGGAUACAAACAUAAAGAAACUCUUACCUUCGGAUGCAAUCAAGGAUUUCAAAUGGUUGGUACACCAGAUAGAAUAUGUAAUUUUGCAGUAUGGAGUGAUUCCAGAAUACCUCGUUGUGAAUGUAAAUUAAACAUUUAAUUUGAUCUAAUAUGUACUCUGGAACAGUAUUUCAAAUGAUCAAAUUCUACGACAAUAUGUAGUAGCUGUUGUUGUCGUUGUCGCUAUGGUUGUCGCUGUUACAUUAUUUUU